UGAAACUAUUCUGUCUCACUGGCCGAGUUUCAAUCACAGUUUUGCACAAAACCUUUUCUGGACAAGUUGAGAAAACACGAUUGCGAAUGUGUCUGUGUUUCCACUGCAGGUUAAUGGAAAUGCAACUACUGGUAUUUUUGCUGUGAUUGUGGGAAAAAAAAGAAUAUUUUCUGACGUGAAAGACGAUCAAAGCGAAGCAUGAAUGAGGGCGGAGUUAUACUCAGACAGAAGUAAGAACGAUGUGUCGUCCAACCUGGAAAUCAAAAAUGUUUAUAUCUGAUAAACAGCCAGUCGUUAUAAAUAUAAAUAAAAAUGUGGAUAACUGCACAUUCUUCUUUGGAAAGACACUCAUCUCGUUCAUUCGGUUGACAAGUUGUUCCCGUCUCACCUCUGCACAGCUGCCCGCUCGCCGUGCGAGGAGGGUGUGAACGUCAGAACUUUGGUUCUGGAAAAGUUACAGAGAAAGGUGUGAAAUAAAAAGCGUCUGAGGAGCAGAUGUGACGAAGCGUUCCAGCUACUUUAAGACGUUUGUUUGACUUUGAAGUGGAUGUUCCACCUGCAGUUCAUAUGGUGACGCUACAGAACUCAGGGACGCUCUGUCGUCCUGUCGGGUGGCGGACGCCGUAAUAUGAAGUCGUCUUUGGCGCCAAGAUCUUUGCAGCAGAUUAGUUAACGGCGUUCCACUAGUGAACAUCUUGUUACCAAAAUAUAAAAUUGGAGAUCCUCUACAUCUUUAACUUUUCAAACUUGAGUUUCUUUAAGAAAUUGUGAAGUAAAUUUUGGGAGCUAUGGUGCCGACCAUGAGCCGACCAUGAGCCGACCAUGAGCCUUGGACCUUUGUUGCAUCAUCUCUCUAUCGUUAAAGAGAUCUAAUAAAACACAUAAAAACAGCCAAAAUAUAAUUGUAGAAACUUGAAUUGCUGCAGCUUGUACCUCAGAGUGCGUUUGUGAAUUCGAUGCUCGUUCCUUCUUGGUGACGAAGUUUAUCUGUUUCUUUGCUGCCAGUGGAAGUUUGAUUCUUACGAUAAAUAAAAACUAUUUGAACUAAUAAAACUGGUUUUACGAGACAAAUGAAACUUUGCUUUUUUUUUUUUUCUUCCAUUUUUAAAGUGCAGACACACGGACGUAAUUAACCAUUUGUUCUUCCAGUGACAGUGAUCUGUGUGUUUCAUGCGAGGCGGCGGCGUAGCUGGACUCAGUUAGCACAUGCUAACACUUACAGAGGACCGGGGGGAACAUCUCACCGCUCAUGUGUUCAGAGCUUGGACUCAAAUGAAAGCAGGUCUGCAGGAUGAUAGAAACCAAACCGCAGCUGUCCUGACACCGCGGCCUGAGAGAGGAUGAUGAUGCAUCGAGGUAAAACACGAUAUAAUUCACCUCGGUAACGGAGGAGCAGCAGACGGAGGCGGGAAAGUGAAGAUAUGGAGCGCCAUCUCCACGGCGACCUGUUCCAGAGCGAAGUUUAUUUGACAGCGCUGCCAGGACACAUCCGGACAGAACCACCUCCACGUCCAGAUCAACAUCUACCUGCCUCCGUGUGACCACAGUCUGACUGAGACUCAAGGCUUUAGUUUUGUGGUUUUUAAAAUUGUAUUUCAUCAUUUCAUAGUUGAC
Molecule: long non-coding RNA, 1614 nt
Organism: Seriola aureovittata
Lineage: Eukaryota; Metazoa; Chordata; Actinopteri; Carangiformes; Carangidae
Exons: 3
Source: RefSeq, a predicted model, not a curated record